AAUGUCAGAGGAUUACCGCCUCCAGCGGGCUGACUCCAACCUGGAUCACAGAACUGAGAGGAGAGAAACAGAUCAAACACAGACAAAGAGAUUUCUUGUACAAGGGCACCCUGCUCAGCUCACGUUCUGAGGCAGAGACGCGCCGAGCAGUUCCUUAUCCCUUUAUUUAUAAUAAAGCAUAGGUUACAAAAAAGCAGAGGGUGGGGCGGUCCCACGCUCUGAGACAAAACAUAUGUGUGGUGUGAGAAGAAGAAUUUUCUCGUGAGAAUGAGAAUGUUUAGCAGGUGAGGUGUAUGUGUGUUGUGACUGUAAGCUGCAUGUGUGGCAAUGUGGUUACAACAUACAUUCUUGCGAGUGUACAGGCAAGUAGAAAACUACUGAAACUUAGCACAGAGAUAUAUGAUCAUGUGAACACUCAAUUUUCUUCUAACAUUCCCUCCUGUUGGUCAUCAUGAUUAUAUGCAUUAAUUCAAUAUUAAAGAACACAAAAUAACAUGAUAAGGUAAACAAGAUAAAAUAGGAUAAGAGACAGAGAGAAGUAAUGACAUAGGAAGUUCAUUGGCCUAGUCACUAGAGUAUUUACACAGAAUCUUCUGCCUCGGAACCAGAAUCCGUUGACGAGUCUGCACCUCCAGGUGCGUUAUUGGUGUCGUCCUGAGGCAGAUGUUGAUAUUGGGAAAACAGAAUAUGCAUUUGUACAGCAACAAGGCGAGUAAUACAAGAUUUGAUGCAUGGGAUUACACAAGUAGUAAAAAUGCAGAGUAAAACUAGAAUUACAAUUAAAGGCAUUGCUAAAGAAAGAAUUUUCCCUCUCCAGUCUCCCCAUGAUAACCAAUCCCAAAAACUCCAUCCUCCUGUGAGGUCAACGUCAUCCUUUUUCAUAUCUGCUAGUAGGUCAUUAAGAUGAUUUACUGUGUUGGAAAUGUUACCAGCAAUGUCAGGUAUGUAUGUGCAGCACUGAUCACCUAUAACGUGGCAGAGGCCUCCCUGUGAGGCUAAGAGGAUGUCCAGUGCCAUGCGGUGUUGUAUUAGAGUGGCACGUACAGCUGCAACCCAUGGAGUGAGUGCAGCAAAACCGUCUGACACAACAGAAGUUAGAUUUUCCAAUUGUACAUGUAAUUUGUCAAUGUUAUAAGCAUUAUUAAUGGUUCCCCACCAUGGCAACGAUCCUCCUAAGAAUUUAGUUCCUUCUGAGGUUAAACCAACAUCACGCUUUGGUCUAUAAUGAGGAUAGUGAUGAGUGCUAUACUUUAAUUCAUUAUAUACCUGAAUUGUAGGUGUGAGAUACACAAGAGUGCAGAUUCCACUCCAGUGUGGUGGCAAGGCCUGCCAUAGGCCUCCAUCAUCAGAUGGACCGUACACUUGGGUACCAUUCAGAGUUAAUGGGUCAGUCACCUGCAGAGAAUACAUAGGGCGGUUUUGGCCUGAGGAGGCAUCCGCGUUGGUUUCUUCACUAGCCUAUAGUGCCAGACUUGUCAGUCUGUGUCCCCAGACGCAUCAGGCUAGUCCUGCAUACUGUCCAGUAGACUGCCCUAUAGGAAACUCUAGUCUUGGUCACUAUGUAUCUCUUUGACUGCCUCUGUUAUUAGUUUACAAUGUGAUAGAUGUAUCCAGGAUGGUCUCUCUGCUAUUUUGAUUGCGGUUGGUGUUGUUAAUAGUACUUGGUAGGGUCCCUCCCACCUGGGUGUGUUCAACAAGUCUCUCAUCCAGUCUGCUAGAUUAUUUUCUCUUUCUGAUUUCACUAAAUCAGAGUUAAAAGCUGGCAUGGGAAAAGGUCGUCCAUACACUAUUUCAAAAGGGGUUAAACCUUUUUCUGUUUUAGUUAUUCUCAUCCACAUUUUUACUAAGGAUAAACAAUCUGUCCAUGGUCUCUUUGUUUCUUCUACUGCUUUUCUUAGCCUUUGUUUUAUGGUGCCAUUUGUUCUUUCCACCAGUCCUGCACUUUGUGGGUGAUAUGCACAGUGGUUUUUUAGAGACAUUCCUAAUGCUUCUGCUAGGUGCUGCACUGUUUCAUUCACAAAGUGUGUGCCAUUAUCUGAUCUAAUUACUCGUGGUAUGCUGUAUGUUGGAAUGUAAUGUCCUGCUAGACAUUUAGCCAUGCUUAGAGCAUCAUUUUUCUUUAAUGGGUAAAUUUCAACCCAUUUGUACAAAGCACAUACAAUGACUAAUGCGUAUUUUCCGUGUCUGGAGUCGCUUAAUUCUAUAAAAUCCAUAUGUAUGGUGUGAAAUGGAUGUGGAGGUGUAGGAAAUUGUCCUCUUUUCGGUCUCUGAUUUCCCUGUGAAUUGUGUUUUUGACAAAUCAUGCACUUUGCAACAUGUUGUUUAGCAGAAAUUUCAAAAUUUUUAAAAUUUUGUGUUACCCUCCCUCCUGUUGAGACAUGGUAACACCAUGGCUCACCAAAGCUGCUGUGGCAUGCAAUGAUUUAGGAAGGAUAGGUUUACUGUCAAUAUGCAAAAUGUCAUCUUUUGUGGUCGCCCCUCUUUUGUGUCAAGUUUUUUGUUCAGAGAUGGGAGCAGAUAGUUGUGCAUCUUUCAACAGUUCACAAUUCAGAGAUGGGAAAAGAGCUAUGUCAUAAAAGCGGCAGCUUUUGCAGCUAGAUCAGCUUUGUUAUUUCCUCUAGUAAUGGAGGAAUCAUCAUUUUGAUGAGCAGCAUAUUUACACAAAGAAAGUGAGGUGGGUAGUGAAACUGCCUCUAAGAGUGUUAACAUCAUUCUACUGUGAGUGAGUGGCUUCCCAGCCGCUGUGGUUAAGCCACGACGUGCCCAAACACGUGAAAAAUGAUGCACAGAGUCAAAAACAUAUUGACUAUCAGUCCAAAUGCAAAUGUCUUUCCCUUCGGAGAGUUGACACGCUCGAGUGACAGCAUGUAAUUCAGCUGUUUGAGCUGAGAAAGAAGGAGGAAGUGAACCAGACUCAAUAAGUGUGGUUUCUGUAGUUACUGCGUAGCCCACACGGUUCCUUCCUUUUUCAUCCUUUUGUGCAGAGCCGUCAACAAACAGGUGUUGUUGGUAAGGCUGUGGUAUCUUAAAAAUGUCAUCUCAGGGCGCAGUUUCAUGCUCCACCUCAGUUUUACAACAAUGAUGUGUCCCAUCUAAUGGAGUAGCAAGCAUGCUCGCAACAUUAACCUUUUUGCAUUGAGUGUAGGAGAUUUGAGGAUUAGAUAACAGAAUGGAAAUGAGGCUUAGCAGUCUUGUGUUUGUAAUAAAUGGUAAUGGUGUCUGUAAUAAGACUAAAGGAACAUUGUGUUCAACUUUGAUGUCUAAUGUGUCAAAACAAUAUCAGAACUAGCUUCUAUAGCUUCAGCUAUAGCUGUGCAUGCUUGCACGCAGGUAGGUAAGCCAGAAGCCACUGCAUCCAACUUUUUAGAGUAGAAUGCUAAAGGUCGGUGUUUUACACCAAAAGGUUGUGUAAGUACCGCUGACAUAAAUCCCUGAUGCGAUGAGACAAAUAAAGUGAAUGGUAGAGAGUAAUUUGGGAAAGUUAGCAAAUACACUUUCAACUUUGUGAAACAGUCCAUAGUUUCAGGUGUCCACUGUAUUUUGUCUAUCAUGGUCAUCUGUUUCCCAUGUAUUAAAUUCUGUAGUGGCUGAGCACUUUUAGUAUAGUCAGGAAUCCACGUUCUGCAGUAGUUACACAAACCGAGGAAUGACAUCAUUUGUUGUUUGGUUUCAGGUUGAGGAGUAUUCAAAAUGGCGGCCUUUCUAGUAGCAGCUAAUGCCUUGCCAUUUUGUGAGAGUAUAUGGCUUAAAUACACCACUUCAGUUUGGCAGAGCUGAAUUUUGGUCUUGGAGACUUUAUGGCCCUCAUCGUGUAGGUGUCUUAACACUGUCAACGUGUUUCUUUCACCGUAAUGCUUAGUAUGUCCAGUUAUUAAUAUGUCAUCGACAUAUAAUAAGUACUGACCGUUUAUCAGGGGGGGGAACACCUAGUCAUAGAGGCACGCAGAGCUUGGGAAUACAAAGUUGGGCUAUUUGUGAAAUCUUGUGGAAGUCUGGUAUAGGUAUACAUUUGACCAUUGUAUUGGAAUGCGAAUAAAUCUUGGGAUUCUCUGUCCAAUGGAACAGAGAAUAAUGCAUUGGAUAAAUCUACAACACUAAAUCAUUUGUCUCGAGAGCCUAUACUGUUCAAAAGAGUAUGUGGAUUGGCUACUUCCACAGGUUCGGGUUCUACUAUAGCAUUUACUGCUCGUAGAUCUUGAACCAUUCUCCAUUUUCCAUUUGUCUUUUUUACAGGAAAAAUAGGAGUUUUGCAAAUAGCUGUGUCAGUUUUUCGUAGUAUUCCUGCCUUCAACAUGUCCUCUAUGACUGGUCCAAUACCCUCAUGUGCUUCCUGAGUUAGUGGGUAUUGUUUUAAUUUUGGUCUGUCUGAUUUGACUAAUUUCACUUUUAUAGGAUCCUGAUCUUUUAUUAAUCCAACAUCUGUCGGGCUUGUAGACCAUAAUGCAGAUGGUAACGUACCUAAUAAUUGCAUAUGCUCUAAUGACAGUGCAAACUGUGGUUUUUCUAAUAGUCAGUUCUUUUCAUCUAGGUGUGUCUGUGGCGUGACUCCUACAUACAGUCUCAAAACCUUUUUCCUAAUUUGUGUGUUUUUGCCUGUACUCCAACCAUCAUCAUCAGGUUUUGAAUAGUCAUCUCUUUUAGCUUUCUCUAACAUAAAAGGCAUGUUUCACCACUGGUGACUCUUAGUUUUUGUCAACGAGACAUGUACAGGUGUGAUUUUGCUUAUUGAUUUUAGUUCCUGUCCCAUUAUUACUGAGCAACAGGAAUCGCCUGAUGGCAGAACAUACAUAGGUUGGAGACAGAUAGUGCGGCAUUUUACUGCAUGCACUCUCUUAUCAUAUUGUUCAUCUGGUCCAGGAUCCUUUUUAUAUCGCAAUUUACUGGACAAGAUGAAUCCACUAGUAUUGAUAUUUUGGCGCUGUUAUUGGAGUCUGGAUCUAGAAUGGUGGCAGGAUGUGUGGUUCUAAGAGGAGUCACAUGUCCUGAUGCAGAUUUUACUCAAACUACAUUGUUGGAGAGUCUCAUCCCAGGAAAAGUGUCUCUAAGAACUGUAGUACAUGCUCCUGUGUCACAUAAGCAGUUAAAAACUUUGCCAUUUAUCAAAAUUGGUUUAGUGGGUGAGUCCUUAUCAUGCGCUGCUUUAAUCAUACUGAAAAUAUCAAGCUGGGUGUCAGUAUCACUCUGUUCUCGCUCUUUCUGUAUGUGACCUUGUGUGUGUGAGCUUGUUUGUGCAGCUGAGCUGGGCUGUGUUUCCUUAUUUUCAAUUGUAGCUGCAUUUUGCACAAGCUGCACUUCUUGUUCCCUAUCUGAAACAGGUGUUACUACCUGUUUUCUGUCAUCAUCAGCCACUAGUCAUACUUGUGUGGGUUUGUGUCUGCACUCUCUCGCGAUGUGUCCUGGCUUGUGACAGAUAUAGCACAAUUUUUGCUCACGAUCUUUCUGUUGUUGAUCUGAGUCUUCUGUGCGUGUCUGAUAAUGUCCACGCAAAUGGCCUUUACCACGGCCUCUACCUCUCAGAUAGUUCUGUCUGUGGCUGUAGGCUUCAAGGUUUUCAGUUACAUAAACUGAGCUUUGGGUUUGUUUUCUUUUUGUACCCCUUCAGCAUGAGUAGCUUGGUUAACAGCCUGUGUUACUGAGCCUGUGUUUUGGUCUACCCAGUGUUUUUCCACAUGGUGUCUUAAUGGUGGGAGUAAUUCCUUUAAGAAAUGCAUCUGUCAUGAUUACUCCAAGGUCUGUAAACCAGCAUUGUUGGUUCUACGUCUACAAUGGGUCCACCACGGUCGUCUUGCUCGCCCGUAGGUUGGCCAAACCUCGGGUUUGCAACUUCUAUGAGUGGACAUACAGUAACAUGAGUCGGUCCGCAGUCGUCACAGUCCUCUAUAUCCUUGUCAAUGUCAUGUCCUGGUCUGAAACGGCGUACCGUUUGUUCUAAGUCAUUGUGUGGAUAUAGGUUAGGUUCUUUGAGUUUCUUUAUUUUUCUUUUUCCUUUUCUCUCUCGCUCCUGUGCACGAGUUCUAGCUCGCUCCGUCAGCUCCCUCUGUUUUUUCUCUGUCUUGUCUUGUUUUACUCCUCUGCUUGGACUUGACCUUGGCUCCUGUUUAUCUGCAGCUUCAUUUUCUUCUACUCUGGUUUGUGCUCUCUGCCUAUUCACGGCUGUUUCUUCAUCUGUUUUCACUAGAGCUGCUGCGAUUUUUAUUGCCUUUUCCUUGUUUUCUUUUCCUGCCUCUGUUUACCCCUUCGCAGACAUUCUUCUAACCAUUUGUCACUUGCUUCAUAUUCUUCUGUUCUCUUGCCCUUUUUCUUCUUUUUCGUUAUUUGAGAUAUUUCUGUUUUUAGAUCGACUUGGAGACGCAGGACAUCUUUAGUGUCCAGUUUUCCAGUGCAAUUAUGUUUUCUUAUCCAUCUUAUGCUUAUCUGGCCUGCUCCAGGGAGGCUUUUUCUCCAUGAACAGACCGUCCUUGGAUAAAGGUUGCGAUGAUUUACUCCCCAUCUUCUCUGUCUAUGUCAGAACACUCCAAUUUAAAAACUAUUUCUUCUGCUGUUUCUAGGUUAAUUUCUCUGUUAUUUACUGUUAUUCCACCGCUCUCAUAAAAUGUUUCAACUUGUAAAUCUACUAGUAGAGAGUUUAUUGACGGAGGAGUCCAGAAAUAUUUAGUUUUUAUUUCUCCGUCUUUAGAUACAAAAUGGAUAAUUACCAAACUCUUUUAAUUUUACACUAUGAGGGUUCCUCUAAGGAUGUCACAAACAUGAGGUGAAAUUGAGUGAAGUUCCUCCACCAAGCUUCUACAGUAACUAAUUUACUGCGGGCAGAGCUUACUCAAAACACCGUUUGUACGUGAUCCUUAUUGGAUAAAAUAAAAAAUUGAGAUCGCAAACUCACUAGAGUUUUUUAAUGAGCGUUUCUCAAAACACAGAACACAAACAGACUCAUUCACUCCUAUUUACCGCUGACUGGGUAUUUUGUAACAGUACUGACUGACUGUUCUGUAGCUACUUAUCUGGGACUUUUGCACUCAUUCACUAAGAACUUUUGUGCUCAUCCAAGGGACUUUUGGACUCAUCCAUUAUGGACUUUUGUCCUCAUCCAGACUAGUCUUUUCUGGGACUUUUGCACUCAUUCACUAGGAACUUUUGUGCUCAUCCAAAAUCGAUUUUAUGGGACUUUUGAACUCAUCCACAAGGGACUUUUGUUCUCAUCCAAGCGCUUUGUCCAAGUAUAUUAGGACUUCUAUGCUCAUCUUGAGCGCUCCCUCUUGGAGCCGAGGUUUCUGUUAUGGCUAAAACUCGAAAACCCAGAAUUUUAUUUACGGCUAAAAUUCAUAAACCCAUUCACUCUCUUUGCGUGUGGAUACUCACUCUCGUUCUAGUGAUCUGUAGUUCGGAUGGAAAAACCAGAGAAUCACCGUGAGGGUUGGUUCUAACCCUGGCCCAGGUCCGAAUUCACGUCCUGGGUCUUUUCAGACACCCUGGGUGACUGGCUGUCGACAGACUUCAGGUUAACCACUCAGCGGGAUCUCAGGCUUCCCAUCCGGCUCGAAGGACCAAGAAUUAUGUCAGAGGAUUACCGCCUCCAGCGGGCUGACUCCAACCUGGAUCACAGAACUGAGAGGAGAGAAACAGAUCAAACACAGACAAAGAGAUUUCUUGUACAAGGGCACCCUGCUCAGCUCACGUUCUGAGGCAGAGACGCGCCGAGCAGUUCCUUAUCCCUUUAUUUAUAAUAAAGCAUAGGUUACAAAAAAGCAGAGGGUGGGGCGGUCCCACGCUCUGAGACAAAACAUAUGUGUGGUGUGAGAAGAAGAAUUUUCUCGUGAGAAUGAGAAUGUUUAGCAGGUGAGGUGUAUGUGUGUUGUGACUGUAAGCUGCAUGUGUGGCAAUGUGGUUACAACAUACAUUCUUGCGAGUGUACAGGCAAGUAGAAAACUACUGAAACUUAGCACAGAGAUAUAUGAUCAUGUGAACACUCAAUUUUCUUCUAACACAAAAGGAAAACGCAAAGGUGUGAAACAAAAAUCAGUUUCCAGCAGCUGUUGGUGGUAAAGUGUCCAGUGCCCACCACAGCCAGAGAGAAAGCUGCUGAAUAUUUUGAAUUUCCCUCGGGAUUAAUAAAGCGUCUGUCCGUCGAGUCGUCGGAUCCUCUUGAUCCUCAUCAGGGUCAUGGGGGGCUGGAGUCUAUCCCAGCUGACUGCGGGUGAAGGCAGGGGACACCUGGACAGGGGGAGGUGGUGCACUGGCUGGCCUGUUGGCUGGAUGCAGCCUGCAGGAAGGGCUCCACUCCCACAGUGGGUAAAGGACUGAUGGAGGGAGGAUCCUUCACUCGUCCAAACUCAGGUCAGACGCUGGCGCCUCUGCAGGACAAUAAUCCAGUAAAACCUGCCUCUGAAUACGGCCCAAUGCAUAAAAACACUCAACUAUUUUAAAUAACUAAUGGAUUCUGGUUAAAUGUCUUUUAUUCUUUUAAAGCUGUGUAACCCUUCAAACUACUGGAUCAUGAACUAUGUGUUUGCAAACUCAGACUUUGCCAAAGUGAGUUGAAAAAUGUCAGCAGUUGUUCAGUGAGUUAUUUUAAACAGGAGCCAGUGAACAAGCACAGUAGACCUGUUUUUAUAUCUCCUCUUUGUCUGUGUCACAGAGCUACCUCAGGUUAUAAACAUUUCUCAGAGAGCCCAUAGUGUACACAUUUAGAGGUUCCGAAUUGAUUUUGUGGGUCGAGUAGAAUGUUUACAAGUAUUCAUUUUCAAAAAACACAUUAUUUUAACGUGAGUAUUGGGAUGUAGCAGCAGCAGAAGAAGCUGCUCAUUCUUUGUUUGAGGCCAAACUAGCCACCAGGCAGGCGUUUUGUGUUACAUGGUGAUGUAGAUCAGUAACAGAAGAAAUAACUGCACUCUGAAUGAGAUAUUGUGAUAUGAUGAUAACAACAGAGCAGCCCCUUAUUCAUAUGAUUUCUGAAAACAGAAAUAUGUGAACUGGUGAUUCCAACACAAGAAUGAUCCAGGAUUAGAAAACGAAUGCGUUUAACCUGCUGUCUUUAGAUGCUCUGCCAAGGUGAUUGUUGAGUUGUGAUAUUAAAAAGUUUUUUGCAAAGUUUAUCUUCGAUUUUAACAAAAAUGCAACCACACCAUCAAGAUGACUUCUUCGAUUUGGUAUCAGGCUAUUUAGUUCAGCCACUGAACUGAAAAUGUUUUCCUGUUCUUUUUUAGACUUGUCGUUCUUUAACAUCUGGGCUAGUUUCAUUCUUAAACCUACUGCUGAGUUUUUCUUAUCUUAAAAUGGAUGUUUGACCACACACAGCAGUGAGCAUGACUGAUAAAAUGCUGUAGAGUGAAUUUAUCUGACAAAAAUCUGAGUAUUUUUCUGUUUUUUCUCACUAUUCAGUAACAGACACAUCAAUAAUGCUUGAGUACUUGGAACCCAAAAUGUGAAAACGGAUUUCAUACUAAGUUCUGUUAUUAUUUUCCUUUGAUGCCUGCUCAAACCUCUGGAUGGUGUAAAACAAUUCUCACUGCAAGAAAACCCUUGUUUUUAUUAUUUUACAGUGGAAAGUUAGUUGCUUUGUGUGAAUGCUUUUUGACACUUGUGUCUGUUGAGCAGGUUCGUUUUUUGAGAUAGAAAACAAACUACUACUUUCCAGUUAAGCUGUUUAUUUUCUGCCAUCAGUGUCUCAAAAGAAUCUUGAUCAAGGACCUUUUCUGUCUGGAACAGCCUCCCAGAAAAUGACAAAGUCUGAUAUGAACAGAACAUUUUAUACCGUAUUGUGAAAUGUGAUUGGUUAUUGAACACAAACAUAUCAUUCAAAUAUUGAACAGUGAUUGGCUAAAGGUGGGGAUAACCGUGGUGUAGACUUAGCUCUCCCAUUGGUUGGUGCACAGAUACGUCCAUAUCUCUGGCACACGAUUCAUCCAAUCUCCAGGAACCAUCCUGUAAAAGAACCUCCUAGAACCCUCUUCCCUCUCUCUACCUGUCAGUCUUAUUCCUCUGUUAACUGAGAUGUGAUGCAGCUGCUGGUGGUGUCUCAUAGGGAGGAUUAUUAUGGUUUCCACUCUUAAACAACCUUGAGUUUAGCGGUUUCAGUAAAAUUAGUUGUUUUAUUAUAAGGACAUAGGAAUGUGCUGUGUGUGUGAAAACACUCUUUGUACUGGUGUGUGUGUGUGUGUGCGUGCGUGCGUGCGUGCGUGUGCGCGCGCAGCUGUAGCUUUCCAGCCUGACCUGUGUGUAUCCAUCAUGUAUUUAACCCUUCAGAGCCUGGGGUUAAUUCUCUCUCUCUAUUCAGGUCAACACAACUCAUACAUUAAUUACACAACAAAUGGUUAUUAAUAUUGUAAUGUCUGUAUAUCUUAUAUAGACAUAAAAUAUAAUGAGGCGAAACGAGAGUGGUGUCUUUCAAUGUGUUUACUUCUGAACUGCCAGACCAGACUGCCAAACAUGGGGUAACAGGCAUCCCAUAAUACCUUGCGCAGGUACUUCUUAAAGUGACCAUAACACUGUUUUAUACAUUACAAAUAUCAAUAUUGUAUUACUCAUAUGUGACAUCAAGUUCAGUGUUCAGCUAGCAGUGCCUUAAAAAAAUAAAUCCUAACAUGUCCUUGUCUCAGUCUGAUCCAGUUCUUCUCUAAGAUGAGGAAGUGGGCCGACAUGUCCAACCUCUCGCAGGACUUCAGGCUACAAAUGGAUGGCUGGAGCGAAACUUUGAGGUCUCCACCGUGAUCUUCCGCAAGUUUGAUGUCUUGAUUUAGUAAUGAGUCGUGGCCCCUCCAGUCAGGAAGCAGCAGCGGAGAGCUCUCUGGAUCAGGAGAGGCCCAGGCCGAGGCCCUGUGGUGGGGACACCACCUGCAGGUGGCGCUGGUCAACACGGUGGCCUUCAGGGGCAUCUGGCAGAAGCAGUUUCUGUUCACCAACUCCCAGAACCUGCCCUUCAUCCUGUCUGAUGGGACUCCCAUCAAGGUGCCCAUGAAGUACCAGGCUGCAGAGGUCAGCUUUGGUAAGAGACCAGAAUCAUCCACUGGAUGAGCUUCUAGGAUGUAGUUAGAAGGAACUGUUCAGUUUAGUUAUAGAGUGUAUAUACAGUGUAUUAUA
Long non-coding RNA from Amphiprion ocellaris (clown anemonefish), 11073 nucleotides. RefSeq lists it as uncharacterized. NCBI's taxonomy places the organism in Eukaryota, Metazoa, Chordata, Actinopteri, Pomacentridae. The record is from RefSeq and is a predicted model, not a curated record. The transcript has 4 exons.